CUCUCAGCCAUUGGGAGCACUUUGAAAUUCGCUGCAAGCUCGUCGCUAUCCUCGGCAUCUCUUACUGCAUUCUUUUGAAGUAUUUGCUUCUGUGAAACGUUGAAGAAAAAGUUAAAGAUAUGUUGACUACAACUCGGUUUCAAAUUAUAUGUAAUUGGAUUUUUUUAUUUGUUAUUUGUAAUAUAUUAAAAAUUAAUUGCUUCCUGAUUAUUUUGUCAUGCCUUGAGUAGAUUGAGGCAAUUUUCAGCAACAACAAGGUGUACAAUGCGGAGAUGAUUGUUGUGAUGGCGAGUCGAAGUUCAAAUUACUGCUUGUUUUGUUAAGAAGGAAAAUCAAUGCCAAGAAUCAUUACUGGUUCAACAAGCCUUUGCAGACUUGGAGAGGUGAUUUUCCAUUUGAAAAGAUUGUCUAUCCUUAGUUCCAGCUUUAUUUUAUUAUUGCUAA
Molecule: non-coding RNA, 444 nt
Organism: Coffea arabica (coffee)
Lineage: Eukaryota; Viridiplantae; Streptophyta; Magnoliopsida; Gentianales; Rubiaceae
Source: RefSeq, a predicted model, not a curated record